GUGAAUCAUCGAAUUUUUGAACGCAAAUUGCACUCUCUGCUAAUAGGAUGCGUGUUUGAGGGUCAGCCUAAAAAAAAUCGUCAUAGUUGCUGUUACGCGGUAACAUUCGUCGGAAAUUGGGUCAGCUUAAACCUUUGGGUUUAAGCGGCUUAAAAUCUUCGUUACGAUUCCAUGAACGUCUCUAAGAUGUUAUUUUCUU
RNAcentral lists this unclassified non-coding RNA (199 nucleotides) under Glomus sp. RNAcentral describes it as "partial internal transcribed spacer 2". The record is from RNAcentral. Lineage: Eukaryota; Fungi; Glomeromycota; Glomeromycetes; Glomerales; Glomeraceae.